UAGGGAAUCUUCGGCAAUGGGGGCAAACCCUGACCGAGCAACGCCGCGUGAGUGAAGAAGGUUUUCGGAUCGUAAAGCUCUGUUGUAAGAGAAGAACGUGUGUGAGAGUGGAAAGUUCACACAGUGACGGUAACUUACCAGAAAGGGACGGCUAACUACGUACCAG
Molecule: ribosomal RNA, 166 nt
Filed under: uncultured bacterium
Lineage: Bacteria
Description: partial 16S rRNA
Rfam family: Bacterial small subunit ribosomal RNA
Source: RNAcentral